This 253-nucleotide ribosomal RNA is filed under the name uncultured bacterium. RNAcentral describes it as "partial 16S ribosomal RNA". It matches the Rfam family "Bacterial small subunit ribosomal RNA", at positions 524 to 776 of the family's 1533-position model. The record is from RNAcentral.
GACGUAGGACGCGAGCGUUGUCCGGAUUUAUUGGGCGUAAAGAGCUCGUAGGCGGUCUGUCGCGUCGGCUGUGAAAACUCGGGGCUCAACCCCGAGCCUGCAGUCGAUACGGGCAGACUAGAGUGCUGUAGGGGAGACUGGAAUUCCUGGUGUAGCGGUGAAAUGCGCAGAUAUCAGGAGGAACACCGGUGGCGAAGGCGGGUCUCUGGGCAGUAACUGACGCUGAGGAGCGAAAGCGUGGGGAGCGAACAGG